Molecule: ribosomal RNA, 431 nt
Filed under: uncultured bacterium
Lineage: Bacteria
Description: partial 16S ribosomal RNA
Rfam family: Bacterial small subunit ribosomal RNA
Source: RNAcentral
AACGAACGCUGGCGGCAGGCCUAACACAUGCAAGUCGAGCGCCCUUUCGGGGGAGCGGCGGACGGGUGAGUAACGCGUGGGAAUAUGCCCUUCUCUACGGAAUAGCCUCGGGAAACUGAGAGUAAUACCGUAUACGCCCUAUGGGGGAAAGAUUUAUCGGGGAAGGAUUAGCCCGCGUUGGAUUAGGUAGUUGGUGGGGUAAUGGCCUACCAAGCCGACGAUCCAUAGCUGGUUUGAGAGGAUGAUCAGCCACACUGGGACUGAGACACGGCUCAGACUCCUACGGGAGGCAGCAGUGGGGAAUCUUAGACAAUGGGGGCAACCCUGAUCUAGCCAUGCCGCGUGAGUGAUGAAGGCCUUAGGGUUGUAAAGCUCUUUCAGCUGGGAAGAUAAUGACGGUACCAGCAGAAGAAGCCCCGGCUAACUCCGUG